Molecule: long non-coding RNA, 626 nt
Filed under: Prunus dulcis (almond)
Lineage: Eukaryota; Viridiplantae; Streptophyta; Magnoliopsida; Rosales; Rosaceae
Description: sRNA ncRNA
Source: RNAcentral
AAAGCAUCUACCACUAUUCCAAAUAGUCGUAUGGCUGGAAUGUAGGAGGUGAAUCAUUCCUGAAGGUACGUGAGUUUAUCUUUAAGCUCUCCUUCUCUCUCAGCUCUCCCUCUUUGUCUCUCCCUCUCUCCAGCAACCCAUUUCCCCUCCUCCUUAGCCCACUCCCUCAAAACCCAGAUCCCAACCCAACCCCCAUCUCCCAACCUGCAAAACCCAAAACCCACCCUCAACCCCAUCCCCUCAAGCUCUCCUCAUCCGCUGCCGCCGCAAUAGCAGCGGCACCAUUGGCACCAUAAUGAAUGCCACCGCAACCGCCAUCUACGCCACGACGUUGGUAGACGUGGCCAAAUCCAACGCCGUCAGCUUCUGCACCUACUUCACUAUCUACACCAGGUGCUGCGACUCCAGCUUCACCACCGAGCUCAUGAUGGCCAGCUCUGUUGUGAUUCUAUUUCUCCGAUUUUGCUAUAGUUCUUUUUAGAUGUUCACGUCUCGAAAGCUUUUGAAAAAUUAUCCUUUUGUUUGUUGAAUUGAUGAACUUGUGAACUGCAUUUUGUUGGUGUUUGUGAUUAGAUCAGGAUUUUCGUAUGGGUUUUAGGUGUUUCGUUUCUCUGAUCAUAUUUGGG